AGAGCGGAACGCUGGACGGCAUGCUUAACACAUGCAAGUCGCACGGCUGGGGUAACUCAGCAGUGGCGGACGGGUGAGUAACGCGUAGGUACCUAUCUCUGGGUGGGGGACAACCGUGGGAAACUACGGCUAAUACCGCAUGAAGCCUGAGGGCCAAAGCAGCAAUGCGCCUGGAGAGGAGCCUGCGUACGAUUAGCUUGUUGGCGGGGUAAUGGCCCACCAAGGCGACGAUCGUUAGCUGGUCUGAGAGGACGAUCAGCCACACUGGGAUUGAGAACGGCCCAGACUCCUACGGGGGGCAGCAGUGAGGAAUUUUCGUCAAUGGGGGCAACCCUGAACGAGCAACGCCGCGUGCAGGAAGAAGGUUUUCGGAUCGUAAACUGCUUUUCUCGGGGAAGAGAACGGACGGUACCCGAGGAAUCGAGCCCCGGCUAACUACGUGCUAGCAGCCGC
This 453-nucleotide ribosomal RNA is filed under the name uncultured bacterium. RNAcentral's name for it is "SSU rRNA". It matches the Rfam family "Bacterial small subunit ribosomal RNA", at positions 31 to 518 of the family's 1533-position model. The record is from RNAcentral.